RNAcentral lists this ribosomal RNA (685 nucleotides) under Burkholderia sp. CL58. RNAcentral describes it as "bacterial SSU rRNA". It matches the Rfam family "Bacterial small subunit ribosomal RNA", at positions 81 to 763 of the family's 1533-position model. The record is from RNAcentral. Lineage: Bacteria; Pseudomonadati; Pseudomonadota; Betaproteobacteria; Burkholderiales; Burkholderiaceae.
CACCUGGUGGCGAGUGGCGAACGGGUGAGUAAUACAUCGGAACAUGUCCUGUAGUGGGGGAUAGCCCGGCGAAAGCCGGAUUAAUACCGCAUACGAUCUACGGAUGAAAGCGGGGGACCUUCGGACCUCGCGCUAUAGGGUUGGCCGAUGGCUGAUUAGCUAGUUGGUGGGGUAAAGGCCUACCAAGGCGACGAUCAGUAGCUGGUCUGAGAGGACGACCAGCCACACUGGGACUGAGACACGGCCCAGACUCCUACGGGAGGCAGCAGUGGGGAAUUUUGGACAAUGGGCGAAAGCCUGAUCCAGCAAUGCCGCGUGUGUGAAGAAGGCCUUCGGGUUGUAAAGCACUUUUGUCCGGAAAGAAAUCCUUGGCUCUAAUACAGUCGGGGGAUGACGGUACCGGAAGAAUAAGCACCGGCUAACUACGUGCCAGCAGCCGCGGUAAUACGUAGGGUGCGAGCGUUAAUCGGAAUUACUGGGCGUAAAGCGUGCGCAGGCGGUUUGCUAAGACCGAUGUGAAAUCCCCGGGCUCAACCUGGGAACUGCAUUGGUGACUGGCAGGCUAGAGUAUGGCAGAGGGGGGUAGAAUUCCACGUGUAGCAGUGAAAUGCGUAGAGAUGUGGAGGAAUACCGAUGGCGAAGGCAGCCCCCUGGGCCAAUACUGACGCUCAUGCACGAAAGCGUG